Peromyscus eremicus (cactus mouse) is the source of this 260-nucleotide long non-coding RNA. RefSeq lists it as uncharacterized. Lineage: Eukaryota; Metazoa; Chordata; Mammalia; Rodentia; Cricetidae. The transcript is spliced from 2 exons. The record is from RefSeq and is a predicted model, not a curated record.
GAAUGUUUAUUCAAGGAACAAUGGCAACAGAAUACCUCUCCCUUCUGGAUUAUGGAGGUGUGGCAAGGGUAAACAUUGAACCAACAAAUGUAGAUCAACAAGGGACAGACAAGGAGAAUGAAGGCUAAAGAAUCUGAAGAACACUGGAAAAUGAGACAUCUGAAGAAAAAGGACAAAUCAUCUAGAAAAAAAUGUCCCAAGCUAAGGAGUAAAUUGGCCUAUUGAUAUAUCAUCUAUAAAAUUUCAUAAGUCUUCCUAAA